CCUACGGGCGGCAGCAGUGAGGAAUAUUGGUCAAUGGACGAGAGUCUGAACCAGCCAAGUAGCGUGAAGGAUGACUGCCCUAUGGGUUGUAAACUUCUUUUAUAAAGGAAUAAAACGUGGCACGUGUGCCUUUUUGCAUGUACUUUAUGAAUAAGGAUCGGCUAACUCCGUGCCAGCCGCCGCGGUAAUACGGAGGAUCCGAGCGUUAUCCGGAUUUAUUGGGUUUAAAGGGAGCGUAGGUGGGUUGUUAAGUCAGUUGUGAAAGUUUGCGGCUCAACCGUAAAAGUGCAAUUGAUACUGGCAGUCUUGAGUACAGGUGAGGUAGGCGGAAUGCGUGGUGUAGCGGUGAAAUGCAUAGAUAUCACGCAGAACCCCGAUUGCGAAGGCAGCAUACUAGACUGUGACUGACACUGAUGCACGAAAGUGUGGGUAUCAAACAGGAGUAGAUACCCCUGUAGUC
This 460-nucleotide ribosomal RNA is filed under the name uncultured bacterium. Its description in RNAcentral is "partial 16S ribosomal RNA". It matches the Rfam family "Bacterial small subunit ribosomal RNA", at positions 338 to 795 of the family's 1533-position model. The record is from RNAcentral.